GAUGAACGCUAGCGGCAGGCUUAAUACAUGCAAGUCGAGGGGUAACAGGGGAGCUUGCUUCUGCUGACGACCGGCGCACGGGUGCGUAACGCGUAUGUAACCUACCUUGUACAGGAGGAUAGCCCGAAGAAAUUCGGAUUAAUACUCCAUAGUAUUAUCUUAUCGCAUGAUUUAAUAAUUAAAGAUUUUAUCGGUAUAAGAUGGGCAUGCGUUAGAUUAGCUAGUUGGUAAGGUAACGGCUUACCAAGGCUACGAUCUAUAGGGGUUCUGAGAGGAAGAUCCCCCACACUGGCACUGAGAUACGGGCCAG
This 310-nucleotide ribosomal RNA is filed under the name uncultured bacterium. Its description in RNAcentral is "bacterial SSU rRNA". It matches the Rfam family "Bacterial small subunit ribosomal RNA", at positions 28 to 334 of the family's 1533-position model. The record is from RNAcentral.